CAGCCGCCACGGUAAUACGAGGGGGGCAAGCGUUGUUCGGAAUUAUUGGGCGUAAAGGGUGCGUAGGCGGUCUGAUAAGUCUGAUGUGAAAGCCCACGGCUCAACCGUGGAGGGUCAUUGGAAACUGUUAAACUUGAGUGCAGGGGAGAAAAGUGGAAUUCCUAGUGUAGCGGUGAAAUGCGUAGAGAUUAGGAGGAACACCAGUGGCGAAGGCGGCUUUUUGGCCUGUAACUGACACUGAGGCGCGAAAACGUGGGGAGCAAACAGGAUUAGAUACCCGCGUAGUCCCUGUCUCUUAUAC
Molecule: ribosomal RNA, 301 nt
Filed under: uncultured bacterium
Lineage: Bacteria
Description: partial 16S ribosomal RNA
Rfam family: Bacterial small subunit ribosomal RNA
Source: RNAcentral